GAGUUUGAUCAUGGCUCAGAUUGAACGCUGGCGGCAGGCCUAACACAUGCAAGUCGAGCGGUAGAGAGAAGCUUGCUUCUCUUGAGAGCGGCGGACGGGUGAGUAAUGCCUAGGAAUCUGCCUGGUAGUGGGGGAUAACGCUCGGAAACGGACGCUAAUACCGCAUACGUCCUACGGGAGAAAGCAGGGGACCUUCGGGCCUUGCGCUAUCAGAUGAGCCUAGGUCGGAUUAGCUAGUUGGUGAGGUAAUGGCUCACCAAGGCGACGAUCCGUAACUGGUCUGAGAGGAUGAUCAGUCACACUGGAGCUGAGACACGGUCCAGACUCCUACGGGAGGCAGCAGUGGGGAUAUUGGACAAUGGGCGAAAGCCUCGAUCCAGCCAUGCCGCGUGUGUGAAGAAGGUCUUCGGAUUGUAAAGCACUUUAAGUUGGGAGGAAGGGCAGUAGAUUAAUACUUUG
Molecule: ribosomal RNA, 459 nt
Filed under: uncultured bacterium
Lineage: Bacteria
Description: bacterial SSU rRNA
Rfam family: Bacterial small subunit ribosomal RNA
Source: RNAcentral